ACUCAAAGGAAUUGACGGGGGCCCGCACAAGCGGCGGAGCGUGCGGUUUAAUUCGACGCGACGCGCAAAACCUUACCCAGGCUUGACAUGCCCCUGCAGAGCCGGGAAACCGGUUGGCCUUCGAGGGUGGGGCAAAGGUGCUGCAUGGCUGUCGUCAGCUCGUGCCGUGAGGUGUUGGGUUAAGUCCCGCAACGAGCGCAACCCCCGCCGCCAGUUGAACAUUCUCUGGCGGGACCGCCCCGCGAGGGGAGGAAGGAGGGGAUGAUGUCAAGUCAGCAUGGCCCUUACGCCUGGGGCGACACGCACGCUACAAUGGCCAGGACAACGGGUUGCCAAGGCGCGAGCCGGAGCUAAUCCCCCAAACCUGGUCUCAGUUCGGAUCGGGGGCUGAAACCCGCCCCCGUGAAGCCGGAGUCGCUAGUAACCGUGGGUCAGCAUUACCGCGGUGAAUGUGUUCCCGGGCCUUGUACACACCGCCCGU
Molecule: ribosomal RNA, 481 nt
Filed under: uncultured bacterium
Lineage: Bacteria
Description: partial 16S ribosomal RNA
Rfam family: Bacterial small subunit ribosomal RNA
Source: RNAcentral